RNAcentral lists this long non-coding RNA (449 nucleotides) under Rattus norvegicus (Norway rat). Its description in RNAcentral is "long non-coding RNA NONRATT031596". Lineage: Eukaryota; Metazoa; Chordata; Mammalia; Rodentia; Muridae. The record is from RNAcentral.
GUUGGAGAUGUUCAACCUGUAUCACAGUCACACGGUAGGCUGUGGGUGUCAGAUAUCUCAGGCUUUCAGUAAUUAGUGUCAAGACUUCAGACCAGUGAUUUUCAACCAGGCCACACCUCAGACCUGGGCACAUGUAGUAAGGAAAAGCUGCAUGUGCCCCUGACUAGCCCUGUGGCUUUAGAGUCACAUGUGCCUGCACACUUUGGGACAUGGGGGCAUCAGGAUGCUCGAAAGGGACUCAUCCGACUGCACACAUCAGUGUAUGGUAUACGGUCAGUCAGGCCGUUAUGUCAAAACAAACCUGAAGCAGGCGGACAAUGUUUCAAACGAAUCAGGUGGGGAGUAUUCAUCCUAAGCCACCACACAAGCAUCCGACAGCAAUUACCGUUCAUCUUCCCCCUGUGCCAGCCCUGCUAGACCCACACUUGCGUUAGCUCAUUCAAUCCUCA